RNAcentral lists this ribosomal RNA (122 nucleotides) under Aureococcus anophagefferens. RNAcentral's name for it is "partial small subunit ribosomal RNA". It matches the Rfam family "Eukaryotic small subunit ribosomal RNA", at positions 1706 to 1827 of the family's 1831-position model. Lineage: Eukaryota; Pelagophyceae; Pelagomonadales; Pelagomonadaceae. The record is from RNAcentral.
ACCUCCGGACUGGGGUUCGCAAGCUUCACGGCGAAUGUACCUCGGGAAGUUGGUUAAACCUCACUAUUUAGAGGAAGGUGAAGUCGUAACAAGGUCUCCGUAGGUGAACCUGCAGAAGGAUC